This 253-nucleotide ribosomal RNA is filed under the name uncultured bacterium. RNAcentral's name for it is "partial 16S ribosomal RNA". It matches the Rfam family "Bacterial small subunit ribosomal RNA", at positions 524 to 776 of the family's 1533-position model. The record is from RNAcentral.
UACGUAGGGUGCAAGCGUUAUCCGGAAUUACUGGGCGUAAAGCGUGCGCAGGCGGUUGUGCAAGACCGAUGUGAAAUCCCCGGGCUUAACCUGGGAAUGGCAUUGGUGACUGCACGGCUAGAGUGUGUCAGAGGGGGGUAGAAUUCCACGUGUAGCAGUGAAAUGCGUAGAGAUGUGGAGGAAUACCGAUGGCGAAGGCAGCCCCCUGGGAUAACACUGACGCUCAUGCACGAAAGCGUGGGGAGCAAACAGG